Molecule: ribosomal RNA, 429 nt
Filed under: Chloroflexota bacterium
Lineage: Bacteria; Bacillati; Chloroflexota
Description: Chloroflexi bacterium partial 16S ribosomal RNA
Rfam family: Bacterial small subunit ribosomal RNA
Source: RNAcentral
UGGGGAAUAUUGCACAAUGGGCGCAAGCCUGAUGCAGCCAUGCCGCGUGUAUGAAGAAGGCCUUCGGGUUGUAAAGUACUUUCAGUCGGGAGGAAGGUGGUAAGGUUAAUAACCUCAUCGAUUGACGUUACCCGCAGAAGAAGCACCGGCUAACUCCGUGCCAGCAGCCGCGGUAAUACGGAGGGUGCAAGCGUUAAUCGGAAUUACUGGGCGUAAAGCGCACGCAGGCGGUCUGUCAAGUCGGAUGUGAAAUCCCCGGGCUCAACCUGGGAACUGCAUCUGAUACUGGCAAGCUUGAGUCUCGUAGAGGGGGGUAGAAUUCCAGGUGUAGCGGUGAAAUGCGUAGAGAUCUGGAGGAAUACCGGUGGCGAAGGCGGCCCCCUGGACAAAGACUGACGCUCAGGUGCGAAAGCGUGGGGAGCAAACAGG